AUCUGCAUCAGGUUUGAAAAGUCACCCCACCCUCCUGUGAACAUAAGAUGCUAAGAAGCACAGGGCUUUUCCAAUCGAAGCUGGAAGGGGCUGAGGUGGCACCUGGGGACUCAGAGGCACCAGCUCCUGUCUGAGACAGACGGGUCAGGAGCAGGACUGGGACCAGACCACCAGCAACAUAUGUGAGCACGUCCUCCAAAUGAGACCAGGACGCCUAAGAAAAUUAACUACCUUUUCAUCUACUUCAGUUCCUCACUGUUCACCUGCAUAAAAAUUAUUCAUCCUCCUUGAAACUUAAAGUGGACCCCGGGCCAUAGGCAGUGAGGAAGUGUUAUGUCGAGAUGCACAGGGGAGCGGAGAAAGGCAACAAAAGAAAUGAUAAGGCAGACUUUUAUCUGUGUUAAUAUGUUUGCUGGCAAGAUAUGGUGACUUUGCCUUCCUCGUCCAAAUACUCAUCUACAAUACAAAGUGGAGAUGGUGAUUAUUGCCAACUGCAUUGGAAUGUUGUGAGAAUUCAAUGAAAUAAUGUAUGUGCAAUGCCCAGACUCUUCUACCAGGAGCUGUGGUCUUAACUUCAGACUGACAGUCAAAUUCAAGAUUCAUGAAAAGCUGCUUCAAGCACCGAGUCUGGUUAUCUUUAAGAAAUUUGGCAGGACAAGCCUUGUGGUACACACGACAACAGCACAGCAGCGGUCUCACGAUUCCCAGGCAGGCUUGGAUCCCAAUAAUCCUGCACAGGGUACGUGUAGUCACAAGGAGCAAAGGAACAAAGUUGAUUAGAAACAUUAGCUCAGGGAAGCCAUCAGCUCCGGGUCCCUGUGAGCCACAUUCAAGUAACCGGUUAAUCCCAUCUCGUCAGGGUUGUGUGAAUAGCUCCCAUCCUCCAGGGCAGCACCAUUCAUUAGUUCCCCAUGGCGAUGAGUUAUAAAU
Long non-coding RNA from Hipposideros armiger (great roundleaf bat), 930 nucleotides. RefSeq lists it as uncharacterized. Lineage: Eukaryota; Metazoa; Chordata; Mammalia; Chiroptera; Hipposideridae. The transcript has 3 exons. The record is from RefSeq and is a predicted model, not a curated record.